UAAUCAGAUGCUGCGAGGCCUAGG
RNAcentral lists this unclassified non-coding RNA (24 nucleotides) under Mus musculus (house mouse). RNAcentral's name for it is "oocyte_clustered_small_RNA9363". Lineage: Eukaryota; Metazoa; Chordata; Mammalia; Rodentia; Muridae. The record is from RNAcentral.